GACGAACGCUGGCGGCGUGCUUAACACAUGCAAGUCGAACGGAAAGGGCCUGCUUUUGUGGGGUGCUCGAGUGGCGAAAGGGUGAGUAACACGGGAGUAACCUGCCCUUGACUUUGGGAUAAAUUCAGGAAACUGGGGCUAAUACCGGAUAGGAGGUCCUGCUGCAUGGUGGGGGUUGGAAAGGUUCGGCGGUUGGGGAUGGACUCGCGGCUUAUCAGCUUGUUGGUGGGGUAGUGGCUUACCAAGGCUUUGACGGGUAGCCGGCCUGAGAGGGUGACCGGCCACAUUGGGACUGAGAUACGGCCCAGACUCCUACGGGAGGCAGCAGUGGGGAAUAUUGCACAAUGGGCGGAAGCCUGAUGCAGCAACGCCGCGUGCGGGAUGACGGCCUUCGGGUUGUAAACCGCUUUCGCCUGUGACGAAGCGUGAGUGACGGUAAUGGGUAAAGAAGCACCGGCUAACUACGUG
This 468-nucleotide ribosomal RNA is filed under the name uncultured bacterium. RNAcentral's name for it is "partial 16S ribosomal RNA". It matches the Rfam family "Bacterial small subunit ribosomal RNA", at positions 28 to 507 of the family's 1533-position model. The record is from RNAcentral.